RNAcentral lists this ribosomal RNA (274 nucleotides) under uncultured bacterium. Its description in RNAcentral is "partial 16S ribosomal RNA". It matches the Rfam family "Bacterial small subunit ribosomal RNA", at positions 523 to 796 of the family's 1533-position model. The record is from RNAcentral.
AUACGGAGGGGGCUAGCGUUGUUCGGAAUUACUGGGCGUAAAGCGCGCGUAGGCGGUUUAUCAAGUUAGACGUGAAAGCCCUGGGCUCAACCCAGGAACUGCGUUUGAUACUGGUUGACUAGAGGCCGGGAGAGGGUAGUGGAAUUCCCAGUGUAGAGGUGAAAUUCGUAGAUCUUGGGAAGAACACCGGCGGCGAAGGCGGCUCUCUGGUCCGGUUCUGACGCUGAGGCGCGAAAGCGUGGGGAGCAAACAGGAUUAGAAACCCCAGUAGUCC